RNAcentral lists this ribosomal RNA (889 nucleotides) under uncultured bacterium. RNAcentral's name for it is "bacterial SSU rRNA". It matches the Rfam family "Bacterial small subunit ribosomal RNA", at positions 528 to 1533 of the family's 1533-position model. The record is from RNAcentral.
UAGGGGGCAAGCGUUAUCCGGAUUUACUGGGCGUAAAGGGUGCUUAGGUGGUCUUUCAAGUCAGGAGUGAAAGGCUACGGCUCAACCGUAGUACGCUCUUGAAACUGGAAGACUUGAGUGCAGGAGAGGAGAGUGGAAUUCCUAGUGUAGCGGUGAAAUGCGUAGAUAUUAGGAGGAACACCAGUUGCGAAGGCGGCUCUCUGGACUGUAACUGACGCUGAGGCACGAAAGCGUGGGGAGCAAACAGGAUUAGAUACCCUGGUAGUCCACGCCGUAAACGAUGAGUACUAGCCGUCGGAGGUUACCCCCUUCGGUGGCGCAACUAACGCAUUAAGUACUCCGCCUGGGAAGUACGCUCGCAAGAGUGAAACUCAAAGGAAUUGACCGGGACCCGCACAAGUAGCGGAGCAUGUGGUUUAAUUCGAAGCAACGCGAAGAACCUUACCUAAGCUUGACAUCCCACUGACCCUUCCCUAAUCGGAAGUUUCCCUUCGGGGACAGUGGUGACAGGUGGUGCAUGGUUGUCGUCAGCUCGUGUCGAGAGAUGUUGGGUUAAGUCCCGCAACGAGCGCAACUCUUGCUUUUAGUUGCCAGCAUUUAAAUUGGGCACUCUAGAGGGACUUGCCUUGAUAACCUGGAGGAAGGUGAGAUGACUCCUAGCCGUCGUGUCUCUUUAUGUCUUAGGGCUACACACAUGCUAGAAUGAAAGUACCCAGUCCACCCCAACUCGUUAAAGCGCACCUAAAUCCCUUAUAGCCAUUAGAGAGUCGGAUUGGAAGCUGGAAUCUCCCCUAAAUAGAAACUGCAAUUACCCGCUAACAGAAGAACGUAAUGCUGCGGGUGAAUGGCGAUUCUGGUAUUCUAGAACCCGACCGCCCCACCGAACGAU